Non-coding RNA from Triticum urartu, 2334 nucleotides. NCBI's taxonomy places the organism in Eukaryota, Viridiplantae, Streptophyta, Magnoliopsida, Poales, Poaceae. The record is from RefSeq and is a predicted model, not a curated record.
GUCGCUGUGCGGCGUGCACCGUGAGCCCUCAACUAGCGCGCGUGUGGCCACUGCAUCAGGUAAUUAACAACCUCCACCACAACUCCACAAGCCCCAUCGCAAGUUUGUUUUUUCGUCAUGUGCUCAAGACUGAAAGAAUUCUGCUGUAUUUAGGGCAUGUACGGUUGUGCCAGUAAAGCUAUUUGAUAUAUGCCACUAUAGAACUACUAUCAGCCUUUUCAUGUCCCUGCAAAAGGGGUUUGCAUUAUGUAUGUUCUUGUUGUAUAUCAAUGAGAAUAGCAAGAACAGCAGAGGAAUUGAUGACAAAAAUAAGGAGCCACAUUCUUCUUAUUUCAAAGAAAGGCAUCAAGUAGAUUCAUGUGAGUUUUUGGAACUAAAGCAGCAUAAAACGUAUGAUGAUCUAAUUAUAUUCACAAGUAAUUUCUUUAUGAACAGGUAGAAUGACUGGGAAGAUUAUCUUUUGAGAGCCGCUCCUCUCCCCUCCCUGGCCGGAGGAAUCCCCACAUCCCCAAGCUCGACGGGCUUGCCAGACGACUGAUUGAGGUCCUCGCCAUGGCCACUCACACAGUCGGUGAGUCCCGUAGGCUGCCGACGUCACCAACCGUCGCGCGCCGCCGGUCUGCCUAGCCCACUGUCAGCUGCGGGCGGCCAGCUGGGUCGAACUCCAUGCAUGUUCCAUGCGGGCCAAACGAGACCGCCCUCCACGCCGGGACACUGACAUGCCGGCCUGCCCGUCCCUUGCUCCACGUCCCGGCCUGGACGUCCCCUGCUCCGGACGGACGCACCAAACUCCACAACUUUCCGGCAAUCCGACCACGGGCAGACACAUUUUCUUCAGGUUCGCACAACUUCCCUGUCGUCGAUCAAUGGACCUGCAUUUGAAUGAAAACAACUGUAUUUAGUUGGCUAUUGUACAAUAUUUGGUUUUGGUCAUAUUAAUGCAGGGGAAUUCAGAUUACAGUACUGUGUAAUCAUAGUUGUAGCAGCACAGAGCAGAGCCUCUCCGAUCGGUAAGGAAAAUUCAGGAAGCACAUCACACCAUUUCUUACCUAGCCUACUGCAUUGUUGUUGCUUCAGCAAUCACGCUGGUGCAUCGAUCCUCCUAGCACAUAUAUAAAUUAAAUUGUGUAUAGAUACGAACUGCUUGAGCAAUCACGCUGGAUUUUCAUGACCACCUUCUGCCCUUCUCCAGUAAUAUUUGUCAGAUCCUUGGCGUGAUCUAUGUACUAGGUAUUAGAACUGUAAGUAUAACAUUGUCUGAUGAUGUCCUAUACAUGUGAAUUGCAGUUUGUAAACAUUCAUUUGCCGAAGAAAUCAUGGGAUUUAGUUAUAUCUAUUUUCUCAUAUUGAUUCUUCAUGCUAUAAAUCCAUAGAAGAAACAAAGCAGAUUGAUUAAAUACCACUAUAAGCAGUUUUUUCCCAAAUCCUGUUACAACUAAGUGAGCCUGACAUUUUGCAGCAAAGAAUAAUCAAGAAAUUUGCAGCAUAAUAUAUCAAAAAGUUUAGAGAGGAGAGAAAAAUGGAAAGAACUUUCUCAAAAAAAAAAUGUAGGUGAACUCAAUAGGAGAAGUUCAAUUUCAGCCAGAACAUUAAUUAUAUAACCUUUAUGCAUUCAGGAAAAUAUGGACGUGAAGAGAACACCUUAAAUUAGUUAGGCGAUACACGUUUACUCGAGUGCUCUGAAAGCUACACUAACCUGGCAGAAUAUGACCACAAUUCAGUAGUUUCGUGAGGCCUGUGGUGGCCAAGGUUUGAAGACUGAGUUUUCAAAGCUGAAUGUGAUGUCCAGUCUACAUUUCACGGUGACAACAACGUUCUACUUCUACUGCAGCAGGUUAUUUUAUUUUUUGUUCAUCGUUCGUGCAUGUGUUAUAAAAGUUACUCCAAACUUGGUUUUGUAUCUCUGUAAUUUGUAUAUAAAUAUUGGCUUUGUUUUUGGAGGACGAGAUGACUGCUCCUGCUGGGUAUAACACUCUUGGUCGUAUUAUGGCGCCACUGGCCAGAGAAGCCAAAAGGAGGCACGACUAGCUCCGUCUUCUCGCAGUGACGAUGGCCUUCCUCUAAAAAGUUUGAUGUCUCAACCGCCACACACGCUGGGGAAAGCAAGUCUGAGCCUGAGAAACCGUAUCGCUUGGUACAGGGAAUUUGUUGGCUAAACUUUGAGUUGAAUACUGCUUGAUUGCACACUUGAGUUGUAUACUCUCUCUUCACGUCAAUGCUCCUGUGCUCCGACCCUCCCUGACCCCUCCCAGCAAGCAGCAGAGUCUCUCGGGUUCGAGCUCCACCGGGCCGCCGCCGGCGGCGUCCAUGUUCGUUGGGCGGAGCACAAGCUGU